AGUAUUGCACAAUGGGCGCAAGCCUGAUGCAGCAACGCCGCGUGAGUGAAGAAGUAUUUCGGUUUGUAAAGCUCUAUCGAUGGGGAAUAAAAUGAAGGUACCCAAGUAAGAAGCCCCGGCUUACUACGUGCCAGCAGCCGCGGUAAUACGUAGGGGGCAAGCGUUAUCCGGAUUUACUGGGUGUAAAGGGAGCGUAGACGGAAUAGCAAGUUUGGAGUGAAAUACCUGGGCUUAACCCAGGAAUUGCUUUGAAAACUGUUAAACUAGAGUACUGGAGGGGUAUGGGGAAUUCCUAGUGUAGUGGUAAAAUGCGUAGAUAUUAGGAGGAACACCGGAGGCGAAGGCGCCAUACUGGACAGAUACUGACGUUGAGGCUCGAAAGCGUGGGGAGCAAACA
This 397-nucleotide ribosomal RNA is filed under the name uncultured bacterium. Its description in RNAcentral is "partial 16S ribosomal RNA". It matches the Rfam family "Bacterial small subunit ribosomal RNA", at positions 359 to 774 of the family's 1533-position model. The record is from RNAcentral.